GACGAACGCUGGCGGCGUGCUUAACACAUGCAAGUCGAACGGAAAGGCCCUGCUUUUGUGGGGUGCUCGAGUGGCGAACGGGUGAGUAACACGUGAGUAACCUGCCCUUGACUUUGGGAUAACUUCAGGAAACUGGGGCUAAUACCGGAUAGGAGCUCCUGCUGCAUGGUGGGGGUUGGAAAGUUUCGGCGGUUGGGGAUGGACUCGCGGCUUAUCAGCUUGUUGGUGGGGUAGUGGCUUUCCAAGGCUUUGACGGGUAGCCGGCCUGAGAGGGUGACCGGCCACAUUGGGACUGAGAUACGGCCCAGACUCCUACGGGAGGCAGCAGUGGGGAAUAUUGCACAAUGGGCGGAAGCCUGAUGCAGCAACGCCGCGUGCGGGAUGACGGCCUUCGGGUUGUAAACCGCUUUCGCCUGUGACGAAGCGUGAGUGACGGUAAUGGGUAAAGAAGCACCGGCGAACUACGU
This 467-nucleotide ribosomal RNA is filed under the name uncultured bacterium. RNAcentral's name for it is "partial 16S ribosomal RNA". It matches the Rfam family "Bacterial small subunit ribosomal RNA", at positions 28 to 506 of the family's 1533-position model. The record is from RNAcentral.